Non-coding RNA from Vicia faba (fava bean), 222 nucleotides. The record is from the annotation of a GenBank genome assembly. Lineage: Eukaryota; Viridiplantae; Streptophyta; Magnoliopsida; Fabales; Fabaceae.
AUGGCUUCGCUCAUACUUUUAUUUACAGACCUUCUUUGGAUCCAUGAGAGGGAUGCUACAGCUCUACUAGCAGCGUAUCCUCCAUCUUCUCUUUCUUCUUCUGCAUCUGAUGCUACUGUUGCUCACAGAAAACCGUUGAAAAAUGAAAAAAUAGUGAUUGAUAAUACUCAUUUGGAAUUUGAAUCCAGGGUACGAUGGCUAGCCGACAUGAAAGGCUCCUGA